This 383-nucleotide RNase P RNA is filed under the name Acinetobacter baumannii. Its description in RNAcentral is "RNase P RNA component class A". It matches the Rfam family "Bacterial RNase P class A". From Rfam's summary of the family: Ribonuclease P (RNase P) is a ubiquitous endoribonuclease, found in archaea, bacteria and eukarya as well as chloroplasts and mitochondria. Its best characterised activity is the generation of mature 5'-ends of tRNAs by cleaving the 5'-leader elements of precursor-tRNAs. Cellular RNase Ps are ribonucleoproteins. Lineage: Bacteria; Pseudomonadati; Pseudomonadota; Gammaproteobacteria; Moraxellales; Moraxellaceae. The record is from RNAcentral.
GAAGCGGACCAAACGGCCGCGUCUUCGUCAUCCUCCCCUUGGGGGGGGAGAGGGGGGGGGGGAAGGAAAGUGAGGGCACAAGAGGGCAAGGUGCCAGGUAACGCCUGGGGGGUGUCACAGCCCACGACCAGUGCAACAGAGAGCAAACCGCCGAUGGCCCGCGCAAGCGGGAUCAGGUAAGGGUGAAAGGGUGCGGUAAGAGCGCACCGCGCGGCUGGUAACAGUCCGCGGCACGGUAAACUCCACCCGGAGCAAGGCCAAAUAGGGGUUCAUAAGGUACGGCCCGUACUGAACCCGGGUAGGCUGCUUGAGCCAGUGAGCGAUUGCUGGCCUAGAUGAAUGACUGUCCACGACAGAACCCGGCUUAUCGGUCAGUUUCACCU